GAUGAAGAACGCAGCGAAAUGCGAUAAGUAGUGUGAAUUGCAGAAUUCAGUGAAUCAUCGAAUCUUUGAACGCACAUUGCGCCCUUUGGUAUUCCAAAGGGCAUGCCUGUUCGAGCGUCAUUUGUACCCUCAAGCUUUGCUUGGUGUUGGGCGUCUUGUCUCUAGCUUUGCUGGAGACUCGCCUUAAAGUAAUUGGCAGCCGGCCUACUGGUUUCGGAGCGCAGCACAAGUCGCACUCUCUAGCAGCAAAGGUCUAGCAUCCAUUAAGCCUUUUUUUCAACUUUUGACCUCGGAUCAGGUAGGGAUACCCGCUGAACUUAAGCAUAUCAAUAAGCGGAGGA
Molecule: unclassified non-coding RNA, 341 nt
Filed under: soil metagenome
Description: partial contains 5.8S ribosomal RNA, internal transcribed spacer 2, and large subunit ribosomal RNA
Rfam family: 5.8S ribosomal RNA (bases 1-120)
Source: RNAcentral